AACCCUUGUCCUUAGUUACCAGCACGUUAUGGUGGGCACUCUAAGGAGACUGCCGGUGCAAACCGGAGGAAGUGGGGAUGACGUCAAGUCAUCAUGGCCCUUACGGCCUGGGCUACACACGUGCUACAAUGGUCGGUACAAAGGGUUGCCAAGCCGCGAGGUGGAGCUAAUCCCAUAAAACCGAUCGUAGUCCGGAUCGCAGUCUGCAACUCGACUGCGUGAAGUCGGAAUCGCUAGUAAUCGUGAAUCAGAAUGUCACGGUGAAUACGUUCCCGGGCCUU
This 281-nucleotide ribosomal RNA is filed under the name uncultured Pseudomonas sp. Its description in RNAcentral is "partial 16S ribosomal RNA". It matches the Rfam family "Bacterial small subunit ribosomal RNA", at positions 1100 to 1382 of the family's 1533-position model. The record is from RNAcentral. Lineage: Bacteria; Pseudomonadati; Pseudomonadota; Gammaproteobacteria; Pseudomonadales; Pseudomonadaceae.